This 394-nucleotide ribosomal RNA is filed under the name uncultured bacterium. RNAcentral's name for it is "bacterial SSU rRNA". It matches the Rfam family "Bacterial small subunit ribosomal RNA", at positions 355 to 766 of the family's 1533-position model. The record is from RNAcentral.
UCGGGAAUUUUGGGCAAUGGGCGAAAGCCUGACCCAGCAACGCCGCGUGAGGGAUGAAGUAUUUCGGUAUGUAAACCUCGAAAGAAUGGGAAGAAUAAAUGACGGUACCAUUUAUAAGCUCCGGCUAACUACGUGCCAGCAGCCGCGGUAAUACGUAGGGAGCAAGCGUUGUUCGGAUUUACUGGGUGUAAAGGGUGCGCAGGCGGAUGGGUAAGUCAGGGGUGAAAGUCUGCAGCUUAACUGUAGAAUUGCCUUUGAUACUGCUCAUCUUGAGUGUGGGGGAGCUUGAUGGAAUUCCGGGUGUAGCAGUGAAAUGCGUAGAUAGCUGGAAGAACACCAGUGGCGAAGGCGGUCAACUGGCCCAUAACUGACGCUCAUGCACGAAAGCGUGGGG